AUGACAGUGUUGGGAAUUCUGUACCUGGUGACUGUUCUUCCUGGUAUCCUGUCCCAGGUACAGCUUCAGGAGUCAGGACCUAGCCUGGUGAAGCCCUCUCAAUUGCAGUCCCUCACCUGCUCUGUCACUGGAUACUCCAUCACCAGUGGUUAUGGUUGGAGCUGGAUCAGACAGUCUCCUGGGAAGAAGCUGGAGUGGAUGGGGUACAUAAGCUAUAGUGGUAGCACAGGCUAUAACCCAUCCCUCAAGAGCCGCAUCUCCAUCACCAAAGAAACAUCCAAGAACCAGUUCUUCCUACAACUGAACUCUGUGACCACUAAGGACACAGCCACAUAUUACUGUGCAAGAGGCACAGUGUGUAGACUUCAGCAUGAGCCCAGGGCACUAAACUCCCUGCAGAGGAUGUCUGGACCAGCAGGGGGCGCUCAGCUCUAA
Molecule: non-coding RNA, 435 nt
Organism: Onychomys torridus (southern grasshopper mouse)
Lineage: Eukaryota; Metazoa; Chordata; Mammalia; Rodentia; Cricetidae
Source: the annotation of a RefSeq genome assembly